UACGGAGGGUGCAAGCGUUAAUCGGAAUUACUGGGCGUAAGGCGCACGCAGGCGGUUAAUUAAGUCAGAUGUGAAAUCCCCGAGCUUAACCUGGGAACUGCAUCUGAAACUGGUUGGCUAGAGUCUUGUAGAGGGGGGUAGAAUUCCAGGUGUAGCGGUGAAAUGCGUAGAGAUCUGGAGGAAUACCGGUGGCGAAGGCGGCCCCCUGGACAAAGACUGACGCUCAGGUGCGUAAGCGUGGGGAGCAAACAGG
RNAcentral lists this ribosomal RNA (253 nucleotides) under uncultured bacterium. Its description in RNAcentral is "partial 16S ribosomal RNA". It matches the Rfam family "Bacterial small subunit ribosomal RNA", at positions 524 to 776 of the family's 1533-position model. The record is from RNAcentral.